This 497-nucleotide ribosomal RNA is filed under the name uncultured bacterium. RNAcentral describes it as "partial 16S ribosomal RNA". It matches the Rfam family "Bacterial small subunit ribosomal RNA", at positions 28 to 507 of the family's 1533-position model. The record is from RNAcentral.
GAUGGACGCUGGCGGCGUGCCUAAUACAUGCAAGUCGAGCGAACAGACGAGGAGCUUGCUCCUCUGACGUUAGCGGCGGACGGGUGAGUAACACGUGGAUAACCUACCUAUAAGACUGGGAUAACUUCGGGAAACCGGAGCUAAUACCGGAUAAUAUAUUGAACCGCAUGGUUCAAUAGUGAAAGACGGUUUUGCUGUCACUUAUAGAUGGAUCCGCGCCGCAUUAGCUAGUUGGUAAGGUAACGGCUUACCAAGGCAACGAUGCGUAGCCGACCUGAGAGGGUGAUCGGCCACACUGGAACUGAGACACGGUCCAGACUCCUACGGGAGGCAGCAGUAGGGAAUCUUCCGCAAUGGGCGAAAGCUUGACGGAGCAACGCCGCGUGAAUGAUGAAGGUCUUCGGAUCGUAAAACUCUGUUAUUAGGGAAGAACAAAUGUGUAAGUAACUAUGCACGUCUUGACGGUACCUAAUCAGAAAGCCACGGCUAACUACGUG